UACGUAGGGUGCGAGCGUUAAUCGGAAUUACUGGGCGUAAAGCGUGCGCAGGCGGUUUGGUAAGACAGAUGUGAAAUCCCCGGGCUUAACCUGGGAAUUGCAUUAGUGACUGCCCGGCUAGAGUGUGUCAGAGGGGGGUAGAAUUCCACGUGUAGCAGUGAAAUGCGUAGAGAUGUGGAGGAAUACCGAUGGCGAAGGCAGCCCCCUGGGAUAACACUGACGCUCAUGCACGAAAGCGUGGGGAGCAAACAGG
This 253-nucleotide ribosomal RNA is filed under the name uncultured bacterium. Its description in RNAcentral is "partial 16S ribosomal RNA". It matches the Rfam family "Bacterial small subunit ribosomal RNA", at positions 524 to 776 of the family's 1533-position model. The record is from RNAcentral.